UUCUAAUAUAGCAAAAAAGUGCAUUGGAUUUAAGCUCCAAAUAUAAAAGAUAAGCUUUUUUUUAGAA
This 67-nucleotide transfer RNA is filed under the name Aesalus sp. JL-2019. RNAcentral's name for it is "tRNA-Leu". It matches the Rfam family "tRNA". From Rfam's summary of the family: Transfer RNA (tRNA) molecules are approximately 80 nucleotides in length. Their secondary structure includes four short double-helical elements and three loops (D, anti-codon, and T loops). Lineage: Eukaryota; Metazoa; Arthropoda; Insecta; Coleoptera; Lucanidae. The record is from RNAcentral.